This 641-nucleotide ribosomal RNA is filed under the name uncultured bacterium. Its description in RNAcentral is "bacterial SSU rRNA". It matches the Rfam family "Bacterial small subunit ribosomal RNA", at positions 1 to 637 of the family's 1533-position model. The record is from RNAcentral.
UAGAGUUUGAUCAUGGCUCAGAUUGAACGCUGGCGGCAGGCCUAACACAUGCAAGUCGAGCGGCAGCACAGGGGAACUUGUUCCCUGGGUGGCGAGCGGCGGACGGGUGAGUAAUGGCUGGGAACCUGCCCUGAUGUGGGGGAUAACAGUUGGAAACGACUGCUAAUACCGCAUGAUGUCUACGGACCAAAGAGGAGGACCUUCGGGCUUCUCGCGUCAGGAUGGGCCCAGUUGGGAUUAGCUAGUUGGUAGGGUAAUGGCCUACCAAGGCGACGAUCCCUAGCUGGUUUGAGAGGAUGAUCAGCCACACUGGAACUGAGACACGGUCCAGACUCCUACGGGAGGCAGCAGUGGGGAAUAUUGCACAAUGGGCGCAAGCCUGAUGCAGCCAUGCCGCGUGUGUGAAGAAGGCCUUCGGGUUGUAAAGCACUUUCAGCAGUGAGGAAGGUGGUGUAGUUAAUACCUGCAUCAUUUGACGUUAGCUGCAGAAGAAGCACCGGCUAACUCCGUGCCAGCAGCCGCGGUAAUACGGAGGGUGCGAGCGUUAAUCGGAAUUACUGGGCGUAAAGCGCAUGCAGGCGGUCUGUUAAGCAAGAUGUGAAAGCCCCGGGCUUAACCUGGGAACCGCAUUUUGAACUGGC